GCCACAUCACGUUGAAACACCAGUUCCCGUACAAUCAUCGAAGUUAAGCAACGUUGCGCCUGGUCAAUAUCGAGAUGAAUGGCCGCCUGUUAAAUCCACGUGCUGUAA
Non-coding RNA from Acanthosepion pharaonis, 108 nucleotides. The record is from the annotation of a GenBank genome assembly. NCBI's taxonomy places the organism in Eukaryota, Metazoa, Mollusca, Cephalopoda, Sepiida, Sepiidae.